RNAcentral lists this transfer RNA (76 nucleotides) under Streptomyces variabilis. RNAcentral's name for it is "tRNA-Lys". It matches the Rfam family "tRNA". From Rfam's summary of the family: Transfer RNA (tRNA) molecules are approximately 80 nucleotides in length. Their secondary structure includes four short double-helical elements and three loops (D, anti-codon, and T loops). Lineage: Bacteria; Bacillati; Actinomycetota; Actinomycetes; Kitasatosporales; Streptomycetaceae. The record is from RNAcentral.
NCGCCGCUAGCUCAGUUGGUUAGAGCAGCUGACUCUUAAUCAGCGGGUCCGGGGUUCGAGUCCCUGGCGGCGCACC